RNAcentral lists this ribosomal RNA (448 nucleotides) under uncultured bacterium. RNAcentral describes it as "bacterial SSU rRNA". It matches the Rfam family "Bacterial small subunit ribosomal RNA", at positions 330 to 794 of the family's 1533-position model. The record is from RNAcentral.
GCCAGACUCCUACGGGAGGCAGCAGUGGGGGAUAUUGCACAAUGGGGGGAACCCUGAUGCAGCGACGCCGCGUGGGUGAAGAAGUAUUUCGGUAUGUAAAGCCCUAUCGGCAGGGAAGAAAUUGGACGGUACCUGACUAAGAAGCCCCGGCUAACUACGUGCCAGCAGCCGCGGUAAUACGUAGGGGGCAAGCGUUAUCCGGAUUCACUGGGUGUAAAGGGAGCGUAGACGGCCAUGCAAGCCUGGAGUGAAAGCCCGGGGCCCAACCCCGGGACUGCUCUGGGAACUGUGCGGCUGGAGUGCGGGAGGGGCAGGCGGAAUUCCUGGUGUAGCGGUGAAAUGCGUAGAUAUCAGGAGGAACACCGGCGGCGAAGGCGGCUUGCUGGACGAUGACUGACGUUGAGGCUCGAAAGCGUGGGGAGCAAACAGGAUUAGAUACCCCAGUAAC